Beta vulgaris subsp. vulgaris (sugar beet) is the source of this 1557-nucleotide long non-coding RNA. RefSeq lists it as uncharacterized. The record is from RefSeq and is a predicted model, not a curated record. NCBI's taxonomy places the organism in Eukaryota, Viridiplantae, Streptophyta, Magnoliopsida, Caryophyllales, Amaranthaceae. The transcript has 7 exons.
UUCCAUCUGAACCGCACGUUCCUUUCUUUUUCUCCUCCUCUUCAUGUCUCUCAAUCUCUCUCCUCUUCGAAAUCGACAAUUUGAUGAAACCUUAUUCUCUCUCCUCCGGCGGCAUUUCCUAAUUUUCCCAUUCAACAGCGAUAAUUUCAGAGAUUGAGAGGAUGAAAGAUUGUUGGGAAAUGCAUGGACGACCAAGAAAACCCUCAAAUCCCGAAGGCCGAAGAUGAAGCAGCUUCUUCUGAUAAAGCCUCCAAAUUACGCACUCUUCAAUCCCAAUUCAUCCACUUUCAUGACAACAAACUGUACUCUUCUUUAUCUCUAAUCAAAAUCAAUUGAUUCUUGUUUGUGUUAUCAUUUAGUUUUGUUUGCUCAAUUGAUUUCAGCUACGACAAAGAAGCCGCGGAAGUCUGAACAAAACAGCUUCAGAUAAACCCAGAAUAUUACACUCCCUGGAAUUAUCGCAAACUCGCUAUUGAGCAUUUUCUAAGCCAACCCGGCUGCGAUCCGACACUAUUUUGAAUGAGGAGCUUCGCGUUGUAGAGAGUGCACUGAGACAAAAUUUCAAGUCAUAUGGUGCGUGGCAUCAUCGCAAAUGGGUGGUUAGCAAGGGCCAUUCAUCUGUAGACCAGGAAUUACGUCUAUUAGAUAAGUUUUAGAAGGUUGAUUCACAGAUUUCACGCAUGGAACUAUAUAUGGUAAAAAUAUGCACUGUCACUUGAAUAAGAUAGUUUGACACAACAUGGUUUUUCAUUGUCUAGAGUGAAAGUGGCCGGACCAAGAAAGCGAGAGAUUGAGAGGAUGAAAGAUUGAGAAACCAACGCACCACCAUACUAGCACUUCAAUUUCAGGAACCCUAAAAAAAUGGAGGAUGUUAAAGCCAUUCUCGGCAAAUACAACCCUUUUCAAUCUCUAAAAUCGACUGUAAUUUUUGUUUGCCCAAAAUUCCCACUUCUUUAUUUGUCUAAUUGUUCUCAUCGUUUUGUUUGACUAAUUUUUUUUUUCAAGUUGUUGACUAUGUAUGGUAAUUUGGUAGGUUAAUGAACAUGUGCUUGUUCAUGUUUCACUGCAGCCUUUGAGGGCCUUACAUGUAAGUUUGUCGAAUGCAAGAUUCCAACACUUAUGGAUCCGCUUUUUCUCUCAAGAUGGACCUCGUUCGCCAAAUUCUUUCUAGAUUUGCAAGCUACAAUGCGGAGCGAAAUCAACGGUAAUAAUCCAUCUCCACUUUCAGUUUAUCUUUCAGAUCUAAGGUUCAUAUAUAUGUUCAUCGGUGUCAGAGUUGUUCUUUUUGUCAUGUCAUGUUUUGGUUGCGUAGGAGCUUCAACAAAACUGGAUGUUGUCUAUCAACUUAUGCUGUAUUCAUAAUUUUGUUGAUCUUGUUGGAGCUUGGAUGUGCCGUGCCGCCUUUGUAUUAUUUGACAAAAACUGGAACGAUGAAAUCCCCACUGACAAAACUGGAAAAUUUGAUAUGAUUAAUGAUUUUCUAGAGGAGCACUGGUCCAUUGCCAAGUGGGUUCUUCUUGGAAUUGUUGUUUUGGAGGUAUAUCAUAAAUGUACUUU